RNAcentral lists this ribosomal RNA (465 nucleotides) under uncultured bacterium. Its description in RNAcentral is "partial 16S ribosomal RNA". It matches the Rfam family "Bacterial small subunit ribosomal RNA", at positions 338 to 795 of the family's 1533-position model. The record is from RNAcentral.
CCUACGGGAGACUGCAGUGGGGAAUAUUGCGCAAUGGGCGAAAGCCUGACGCAGCGACGCCGCGUGAGGGAUGAAGGUCUUCGGAUCGUAAACCUCUGUCAGCAGGGAAGAACGGUCACUGUGCUAAUCAGCAGUGAAUUGACGGUACCUGCAAAGGAAGCACCGGCUAACUCCGUGCCAGCAGCCGCGGUAAUACGGAGGGUGCGAGCGUUAAUCGGAAUUACUGGGCGUAAAGCGCUCGUAGGCGGUAUGUCAAGUCAAGGGUGAAAUCCCCGCGCUCAACGUGGGAACUGCCUUUGAAACUGGCAAGCUAGAGUGUGUGAGAGGAUAGUGGAAUUCCAGGUGUAGGAGUGAAAUCCGUAGAUAUCUGGAGGAACAUCAGUGGCGAAGGCGACUAUCUGGCACAUAACUGACGCUGAGGAGCGAAAGCGUGGGGAGCAAACAGGAUUAGAUACCCCAGUAGUC